Molecule: microRNA, 21 nt
Filed under: Eugenia uniflora (Surinam cherry)
Lineage: Eukaryota; Viridiplantae; Streptophyta; Magnoliopsida; Myrtales; Myrtaceae
Description: eun-miR530-3p
Gene: eun-miR530-3p
Source: miRBase by way of RNAcentral
AGGUGCGGGUGCAGGUGCAGA